RNAcentral lists this ribosomal RNA (109 nucleotides) under Jaculus jaculus (lesser Egyptian jerboa). Lineage: Eukaryota; Metazoa; Chordata; Mammalia; Rodentia; Dipodidae. The record is from RNAcentral.
GUCUAUGGCCAUACCACCCUGAACGUGCCCAGUCCCAUCUGAUCUUAGAAGCUAGGUAGGGUCAGUCCUCAUUAGUACUUGCAUGGAAGGAAGAGAGGGGAAACAAGUA